UUGACCUCAAAUCAGGUAGGACUACCCGCUGAACUUAAGCAUAUCAAUAAGCGGAGGAAAAGAAACUAACAAGGAUUCCCCUAGUAACUGCGAGUGAAGCGGGAAAAGCUCAAAUUUGAAAUCUGGCAGUUCUUGAACUGUCCGAGUUGUAAUCUAGAGAAGUGUUACCUGUGCUGGACCGUGUACAAGUCUCCUGGAAUGGAGCAUCACAGAGGGUGAGAAUCCCGUCUUUGACAUGGACUGCCUGUACGAUAUGGUGCGCUCUCGAAGAGUCGAGUUGUUUGGGAAUGCAGCUCAAAAUGGGUGGUAAAUGCCAUCUAAAGCUAAAUAUUGGCGAGAGACCGAUAGCGAACAAGUACCGUGAGGGAAAGAUGAAAAGAACUUUGGAAAGAGAGUUAAACAGUACGUGAAAUUGCUGAAAGGGAAACGCUUGAAGUCAGUCGCGUCGGCUAGAAAUCAGCCUUUGCUUUUGCUUGGUGUACUUUCUGGUUGAUGGGUCAGCAUCAAUUUUGACCAUCGGAUAAAGUCAUUGGGAAUGUGGCAUCUUAGGAUGUGUUAUAGCCCAUUGUCGCAUACGGUGGUUGGGAUUGAGGAACUCAGCAUGAGCGAGAUGACGCUCGUGCUUAGGAUGCUGGCAUAAUGGCUUUAAUCGACCCGUC
This 659-nucleotide ribosomal RNA is filed under the name Inocybe abietis. RNAcentral's name for it is "eukaryotic LSU rRNA". It matches the Rfam family "Eukaryotic large subunit ribosomal RNA", at positions 1 to 653 of the family's 3401-position model. The record is from RNAcentral. Lineage: Eukaryota; Fungi; Basidiomycota; Agaricomycetes; Agaricales; Inocybaceae. RNAcentral also lists the same sequence under 1 other name.